GACGAACGCUGGCGGCGUGCUUAACACAUGCAAGUCGAACGGAAAGGCCCUGCUUUUGUGGGGUGCUCGAGUGGCGAACGGGUGAGUAACACGUGAGUAACCUGCCCUUGACUUUGGGAUAACUUCAGGAAACUGGGGCUAAUACCGGAUAGGAGCUCCUGCUGCAUGGUGGGGGUUGGAAAGUUUCGGCGGUUGGGGAUGGACUCGCGGCUUAUCAGCUUGUUGGUGGGGUAGUGGCUUACCCAGGCUUUGACGGGUAGCCGGCCUGAGAGGGUGACCGGCCACAUUGGGACUGAGAGAGGGCCCAGACUCCUACGGGAGGCAGCAGUGGGGAGUAUUGCACAAUGAGCGGAAGCCGGAUGCAGCAACGCCGCGUGCGGGAUGACGGCCUUCGGGUUGUAAACCGCUUUCGCCUGUGACGAAGCGUGUGUGACGGUAAUGGGUAAAGAAGCACCGGCUAACUACGUG
This 468-nucleotide ribosomal RNA is filed under the name uncultured bacterium. RNAcentral describes it as "partial 16S ribosomal RNA". It matches the Rfam family "Bacterial small subunit ribosomal RNA", at positions 28 to 507 of the family's 1533-position model. The record is from RNAcentral.